This 429-nucleotide ribosomal RNA is filed under the name Chloroflexota bacterium. RNAcentral describes it as "Chloroflexi bacterium partial 16S ribosomal RNA". It matches the Rfam family "Bacterial small subunit ribosomal RNA", at positions 355 to 776 of the family's 1533-position model. The record is from RNAcentral. Lineage: Bacteria; Bacillati; Chloroflexota.
UGGGGAAUAUUGCACAAUGGGCGCAAGCCUGAUGCAGCCAUGCCGCGUGUAUGAAGAAGGCCUUCGGUUUGUAAAGUACUUUCAGCGGGGAGGAAGGGAGUAAAGUUAAUACCUUUGCUCAUUGACGUUACCCGCAGAAGAAGCACCGGCUAACUCCGUGCCAGCAGCCGCGGUAAUACGGAGGGUGCAAGCGUUAAUCGGAAUUACUGGGCGUAAAGCGCACGCAGGCGGUCUGUCAAGUCGGAUGUGAAAUCCCCGGGCUCAAACUGGGAACUGCAUUCGAAACUGGCAGGCUAGAGUCUUGGAGAGGGGGGUAGAAUUCCAGGUGUAGCGGUGAAAUGCGUAGAGAUCUGGAAGAAUACCGGUGGCGAAGGCGGCCCCCUGGACAAAGACUGACGCUCAGGUGCGAAAGCGUGGGGAGCAAACAGG